RNAcentral lists this ribosomal RNA (477 nucleotides) under uncultured bacterium. Its description in RNAcentral is "partial 16S ribosomal RNA". It matches the Rfam family "Bacterial small subunit ribosomal RNA", at positions 28 to 507 of the family's 1533-position model. The record is from RNAcentral.
GAUUAACGCUGGCGGCGUGCAUAACACAUGCAAGUCGACCGAUGAAACUUAGUAGACUUCUUCGGAAAGACACUAAGCGGAUUAGUGGCGAACGGGUGAGUAACGCGUGAGUAACCUGCCUUACACAAGGGGAUAGCCUUUGGAAACGUAGAAUAAUACCCUAUAAAACCAUAAAAGCCCAUGCUAGAAUGGUCAAAGUGAUAGCGGUGUAAGAUGGACUUGCGUCUGAUUAGCUAGUUGGUGAGAUAAAAGCUCACCAAUGCAACGAUCAGUAGCCGGCUUGAGAGAGUGUACGGGCACAUAGGGACUGAGACACGGCCCAGACUCCUACGGGAUGCAGCAGUGGGGAAUUGUGCACAAUGAGGGGAACCCUGAUGCAGCGACGCAUCGUGAUUUAGAAGGCCUUCGGGUUGGAAAAAGCUUUUGUAUAGUAAGAAAAUGACAGUACUAUACGAAUAAGGUCCGGCUAAUUACGUG